UUGGGCUAUCUCUCAAAAUAAAUAAAUAAAUAAAUAAAUAAAUAAAUAAAUAAAUAAAUGUUAAAAAAAGAAAGAGAGAGAGAAGGGAGGAGGUAGAGAGGCAGGGAGAGGGAACAACCAAGGCCUGAGGGGACAGAAGUGAGGGGUGGGGACAGAGAAGGAAAGAAAGGGCAUGGAGACCAGGAGAAAACAGAGGCAGAGGCAGUCAAAAUGCAGAGAGACCGACAGCAAGAGAGACAGCAACGGAACAGAGACCGAUGGAGAGAUGGAGACAGAGAGACAGAGAUACACAUGGAGAUAAUGAGAACCUGGUACCUGGACAGCACCAUUCAGCGUUGGAAACCCAGGUGGGCUGCUGUGCCCAGGGGCCACACUGGAUUGUUGUGUUGGGGAGUGUGAUGGGGACUCCCAAAGGAUACACUCUGGCUUUUCAAAGGAAUCAGAAAUUGGGAGGAUUUGGUUAUGAGAUAAGUGUCUUCUAAUACCAUGUGAAACAAGAUUUUGAAAAAAAUAUGCAUUCUGAGAAUAUAAAUGGUGAAAAGACAGUCUCUUCAAUAAAUGGUGCUGGGACAACUGGACAGAUACAUGCAGAAGAAUGAAACUGGACCAUUUUCUCACACCAUACACAAAAAUAAACUCAAAGUGGAUUUUUUUUAAAGUUUCUUUAUUUUUGGGACAGAGAGAGACAGAGCAUGAAUGGGGGAGGGUCAGAGAGAGAAGGAGACACAGAAUCUGAAACAGGCUCCAGGCUCUGAGUUGUCAGCACAGAGCCUGACGCGGGGCUCGAACUCACGGACCGCGAGAUCAUGACCUGAGCGGAAGUCGGACGCUCAACCGACUGAGCCACCCAGGCGCCCCUCAAAAUGGAUUAAAGACCUAAAUGUGAGGCCUGAAACCAUAAAACUCCUAGAAGAAAACAUAGGCAGUAAUCUCUUUGAUAUCUGCCUUAGCAGUAUUUUUCUGGCUAUAUCUCCUCAGACGAGGGAAACAAAAGCAAAAAUAAGCUAUUGAGACUACCAAAAUAAAAAGCUUUUGUACAGUGAAGGAAACCAUCAACAAAACAAAAAGGCAUCUAGGAAAACAUAUUUGCAAAUGAUAUAUCCAAUAAGGGGUUAAUAUCCAAAAUAUAUAAGGUACUAAUACAACUGAACACUAAAAAAGCAGGCAAUCUGAUAAAAAAUGGGCAGAGGACCUGAAUAGGCAUUUUUCCAAAUAAGACAUACAGAUGGCUAAUAGACACAUGAAAAGAUGCUCAACAUCACUCAUCAUCAAGGAAAUGCAAAUCAAAACCACAAUGAAGGAAGCCUGGCUGGCUUAGUCAGAAGAGCGUAAGACUCUUGAUGGAGGGAUUGUGAAUUCAAGCCCUAUGCUGGGUGUAGAGAUUACUUAAAAUAAAUACAACUUAAAAAAAAAACAUAGUGAGAUAUCACCUUACACCUGUCAGAAUGGCUAGUAUCAAAAAGACAAGAAAUAACAAGUGUUGGGGAGGAUGUGGAGAGAAAGGAACUCUUGUGCACCGUUGGUGGGAAUGAAACUUGGUGCAACCACUGUGGAAAACAGUAUGGAGGUUUCUCAAAAGAUUAAAAAUAGACUUACCAUAUGAUCCUGCAAUUCCAGGGCUGGCUAUUUACCCACCGAAAAUGAAAACACUAAUUUGAAAAGGUAUAUGCCCCCCUACAUUUAUUGCAGCAUUAUUUACAAUGGCCAACAUUUGGAAGCAACCCAAGUGUCCAUCCAUAGAUGAAUGGAUAGAGAAGUUGUGUAUACACGUGUGCACGUGCGUGCGCGCGCACACACACACACACACACAAUGGGAUAUUACUCAGCCAUAAAAAAGAACGGGGUCUUGCCAUUUGUGACAACAUGGAUAGACCCAAAGUCGAUCUGUCUGAAAUGAGUCAGACAGAAAGACAAAUACCAUAUGAUUUCAUUUAUAUGUGGACUCUAAAAAACAUAACAAACAAAAAAGAGAAAUCGACCCAUAAAUCUGAAGAACAAACUGAUGGUUGCCAGAGCAGAGGGGGUAGGGGGGAUGAGCAAAAUGGGUGAAGAGGAGUGGGAGGUACAGGCUUCCAGUUAUUAGCCACGGGGAUGAAAUAUAGGGAAUAUAAUCAAUGGUAUCAUAAUAGUGUCAUCGCGUUGUUUGGUGACAGAUGGUAGCUACAUUUAUGGUGAGCAUAGCAUGUCAUAUAGAGUUGUCCAGUCACUAUGUUGUACGCCUGAAACUAAUGUAACAUUGUGUGUCAACUAGACUUCAAUUAAAAUAAUAAUCUACAUGC
Long non-coding RNA from Neofelis nebulosa (Clouded leopard), 2279 nucleotides. RefSeq lists it as uncharacterized. The record is from RefSeq and is a predicted model, not a curated record. The transcript has 2 exons. NCBI's taxonomy places the organism in Eukaryota, Metazoa, Chordata, Mammalia, Carnivora, Felidae.